GGUUGAUCCUGCCAGUAGUCAUAUGCUUGUCUCAAAGAUUAAGCCAUGCAUGUCUAAGUAUAAACGACUUUGUACAGUGAAACUGCGAAUGGCUCAUUAAAUCAGUUAUAGUUUAUUUGAUAGUACAAUACUACAUGGAUAACCGUGGUAAUUCUAGAGCUAAUACAUGCGCCAGAGCCCGACUUCCCCGGAGGAAGGGCUGUAUUUAUUAGAUAAAAAACCAGCCUGGCCUAGCCAGUUUCAUUGGUGAUUCAUGGUAACUUGUCGAAUCGCACGGCCUUGCGCCGGCGAU
RNAcentral lists this ribosomal RNA (292 nucleotides) under uncultured eukaryote. Its description in RNAcentral is "partial 18S ribosomal RNA". It matches the Rfam family "Eukaryotic small subunit ribosomal RNA", at positions 6 to 291 of the family's 1831-position model. The record is from RNAcentral.